Molecule: transfer RNA, 84 nt
Filed under: Zetaproteobacteria bacterium
Lineage: Bacteria; Pseudomonadati; Pseudomonadota; Candidatius Mariprofundia
Description: tRNA-Leu
Rfam family: tRNA
About the family: Transfer RNA (tRNA) molecules are approximately 80 nucleotides in length. Their secondary structure includes four short double-helical elements and three loops (D, anti-codon, and T loops). Further hydrogen bonds mediate the characteristic L-shaped molecular structure. tRNAs have two regions of fundamental functional importance: the anti-codon, which is responsible for specific mRNA codon recognition, and the 3' end, to which the tRNAs corresponding amino acid is attached (by aminoacyl-tRNA synthetases). tRNAs cope with the degeneracy of the genetic code in two manners: having more than one tRNA (with a specific anti-codon) for a particular amino acid; and 'wobble' base-pairing, i.e. permitting non-standard base-pairing at the 3rd anti-codon position.
Source: RNAcentral
GCGCGGGUGGCGGAACUGGUAGACGCGCAGGCUUGAGGGGCCUGUGGCCUUCGGGCCGUGGAGGUUCAAGUCCUCUUCCGCGCA